RNAcentral lists this ribosomal RNA (440 nucleotides) under uncultured bacterium. RNAcentral's name for it is "partial 16S ribosomal RNA". It matches the Rfam family "Bacterial small subunit ribosomal RNA", at positions 338 to 795 of the family's 1533-position model. The record is from RNAcentral.
CCUACGGGUGGCAGCAGUGGGGGAUAUUGCACAAUGGGCGAAAGCCUGAUGCAGCGACGCCGCGUGAGUGUAGAAGUAUUUCGGUAUGUAAAGCCUUUUCAGCCGGGAAGAAAAUGACAGUACCUGACCAAGAAGCCCCGGCUAACUACGUGCCAGCAGCCGCGGUAAUACGUAGGGGGCCAGCGUUAUCCGGAUUUAUUGGGGGUAAAGCGGGCGUAGACGGUUAUGUAAGUCUGGUGUUAAAGCCCGGGGCCCAACCCCGGGACGGCAUUGGAUACUGGCUAUCUGGAGUGCGGGAGGGGUAAGCGGAAUGCCUGGUGUAGCGGUGAAAUGCGUAGAUAUCAGGAGGAACACCGGCGGCGAAGGCGGCCUACUGGACUGAAACUGACGCUGAGGAACGAAAGCGUGGGGAGCAAACAGGAUUAGAUACCCCUGUAGUC